RNAcentral lists this long non-coding RNA (7617 nucleotides) under Taeniopygia guttata (zebra finch). RNAcentral describes it as "lncRNA (ENSTGUG00000020209.1)". The record is from RNAcentral. Lineage: Eukaryota; Metazoa; Chordata; Aves; Passeriformes; Estrildidae.
GGAUAAAAAGGCUGCUAAACAACAAGACUCAAGGAAAUGAGUCAAGUUCAGAAAAAGGAGGCACAAAAGAUUUAAGGCAAAAAGCUGAACAGCAUAGAUAAUGCACACUCUACAAAGAUAAACAGUUCCAGCGUCUGUAUAUGGCUGGCUGUUUCAAGUAAGUGUCGGGUAUGAGAGGAAACAGGAGGCAGAGAACGGGAAGGGAACGGAUACCGACUCCCAGCCCUAAGGAAAUGUGUUCAGGGCAGAAAAGAGUCAAGUGUGAGAGAUGAACCGUACUCAUUUACUCAGGCAACACUAUUAUUAACAUCCCAAACACUUCUCUUGUCCUCAGAAAGGGUGCCCUGGCUCACCUUGAACAGUUCCUGUGUGCAGAGGGGCAGGGAUUUAAAAGAAGGAAGACUUUGGGGAAAUGACUGCCACAUGCAGAGGCUCAAAUACACCAUUGUAACAUCUGCCUGGAUGGAGGACUCUAUCAGAUAGUGGGAUUCAUUCCCCAUCUAUUCACUUCCCAUAUAAACACUUCUAGUGGCAUUUUUCACAGAUCUGCUCCUGGAGAGCUGGCACAACUUCGUGCAGCAAUACAUGAGCACCACAGUAGCACUUCUGUGUUCCAUGUACAAAGACACCAAUGAAUACAGGCCUAUGACAAGUCUCACUGCAUCUCUGACAUUAAGCUGCAAAAAAACAGUUUCAGCCAAAAACUGAAUGCUGGCCAAUCAAAAGCUAUGAAAUAGUACUCAUUCACAAUAUUGGCAACAUUUUUUUAUUAGUCCCUAAAACAUGGGACGAAUAAAAAUGUUUCUUAAAGGAUGUAUAUGUCUGCAAAGUCAAAGAGAGGAAGGAACAGACCACAGCACUUCAAUAUAUGUCAGAUCUUCAGUCAAAGUCUCUCCAGCAGCUUGGUAAAAAAGCUGCUUUUAGGUGUUCCUCUCCUCAGGGCAGUGUUUAAGUGUUUAUGGAAACACAAGUGGAGUCCUAGACCAUCCACACAAUUAGCCCCUGUCUCAAAACAGAUGUGUGCUGGUAAAUAACUGAGACUACUUCUAGCAUCCUACAUAAUUUUAUGGAGAUGACCUAAUUGUUCCACAAAACUGUGAAAAUAUUUCCAACCUAAAUUUAGCUAUUUUCAGUCUCAUAGCUGGGAUUUCUGUUAAGGUGACCUCUUUACAGACUUUCCAUCACGGACUGCUAUGUUCAUGAUAUGACUUAUCAUCAUAGAUAGGGACAAAUAACUUUUCCAUUCCAUUUUAUGCCAGAUUGAAACAAAGCUACAUGUAUUAUCUGAUUAAGCCUUGUAAAAAUGUGCAAAAUCUGUACAAUUGAGGUUUUGUGCAGAGAUGAAGUCACGGAUGUUCUUUGGGACCUCUUGAACUUUAUGUUCUCUGCAUGAAUGGUAGAAAACACGAGUUCUGAUGAUUAGCUAUUUUCUUCUAAAAGUUAACUAUAUUCAGUACUCAGCAGAAUUUCAUUCCUGACACAAUUUUUAUGCAUGAAUGGGUUAUCAGCUCCUUUAGCACUCUCCAGUUCCACUAAAGAGAGCAGAAUGAACUAUUUUUUUCAGCCUCUGCACCUACAACUUUCUCUCAGAGACUCUUUUGUGUAGAACUGAAGGUCUGGAGCUUUAGCCUUUGAGUACCCCUUGUACAAUAAUGUUACAGCCCAUAUUUCCCACUCAAAUGAUGUGAUCCCUGAGCUCUCUGGAGCAGGCUGAAACUUUGCAAACAGUCUUGUCAACAGAGUCAGGAUGCCAGAGAGACUAGUGGUCAACCUGGCCAAAAAGUCUGUAAAUCUUUCCAUGACAUUCCUGUGAAAAUUGCAUUAGGGGGAAAAAUAAAAAAAAAAUAAUUUUUUUUUUUUUUUAAGGCAGAAAGAGUUUGUGUGGUAACUGCAGUAAAAAUGAAAUCAUAUUCAUUCUCCCAUCCAGCAUCACAGAGGCCAACCAUGCUAAUUCUUACACAUCAGUGCUCGGUUAUAAUCACAUUAUUUGCCUUGGCAAAACAGCUGGGAAAAAAAAGAGAAAUAUCACUGGGAAAGAAUGGGGACUUGGAUCAUAUUCCCAUGUCAUUUUUUUUUAAUGAUUUCCAUUAAAAGUAUAACUCCUGCUAAUAAAUUGUUAAGACUUAUAAAAACUAUGCUAAGAAAAACCUUCAAGAUAGAGAAAGAGAACAUAAAACCCUACCAGCAAAGAUGGAACUUACAUGUCUAAAAGUUUUAAUGUUGCUGUUUCUUUGCACUUUAGACCUUAUGAUGUUGAAAUAGUCAUUACACCUCCUUAUUCUGAAAGAUAUAUAGAUAUAGAUGCAUAUUUAUAGAAGUGUGCACAUAAAGAUAUAUAUGUAUAUAUAUAAAAUAUAUACAUAAAUAUAUAUACAUAAAAUAGGGUAAAGAAUACUCUUAGAUAUUGGGAAAGAUUCCUUCACUGAAAGGGUUGUCAAGCAAGGAACAGGCUGCCCAGGCAAGUGGUGCAGUCACCAUCCCUGAAGGGAUUUAAAAGAUGUAUAGAUGUGCCACUUGGGGACAUGUUCAGCGAUGGACUUGGCAGUGCUGGGUUAAUGGGGGUCUUUUCCAACAUAAAUGUUUCUAUGAUUCCAGUGGAAGAAUAUUUUUGUACUGGGUGUGAGAGGUCUGGGGAGCAUAUUACAGGUCUGAAAUUGGAUGAAUAGCUGUAUGAUAACACAUCCAAAUGUUGCUUUUAUAUAGCAGAGAUCCAAGGACUCAUAUUUCAUUCCAAAGGCAAAGGAAAUAUAAGUUCACUCUCAGCAUAAAUCCUGGGCAGCACCUACUCCCUCAUGGGGGUUGUGAAUCAUAGGUGAUGUGAAACACAAUGCUACAAGAGGAAAUUUCAGUAAUAUUUUUUUUAUCAUACUUAUCUCAAUCCUAAUGUGUUAUUCUUUGUACUUGACACAGGAACGUGUGUGAAAGUAGACUGUCCAAGAAAAAGAGUUUUGAAAUUUUUACUGACAAGGCACAUAGAGAGUAAAAGGACCCCCCAAAAAAUAAAGCAACUGUCUGGAUGCAGAGCACAAUUUCAAGUUCCUUCAUGAGGAGUCCAGUGUUCCCUGCAUUGAAUCAUUCAGCUGCCUACGGAAGCCAACCUCUCUGAGGGUAAAUCUUGUUAAUAUUUCCAUCCAUCACUGCAGUGUUCUUUGAUCAAGACAAAAAUAAAAGUCUUGGGAGAUAGAAGAAAAUGUUAGUUUUCUUGUAACAAUCUAGCAUUAACUCAUGCUAGCAUUACUAGCAUUAACUCAGGUAUUAGAGCAUGAAUGAGAUCUGCGUGGUUUGGUCCAAAGCUCUCUUAUAAUUCAUACAUGCUCCUGCUCCAGAUUCCUUAAACUCUUGUUUAAAAUCCAAUCCAUACUGUUUACCUAAGGAUUUUACAAACAGUAUUCUCGGUAUGAAAAGGUUAACAAUCACUGAAAAUUAGCAUAACUUCAAGAAUCAACUUGUUUGGAGAGCCAACUACGUCUGCAUUCUGCUAACAGUAAACACUAAUUAACAAUGUCUGCUAACACUAACAUAAAUCACAACUGUCCCUUUUCCUCUCCUGGCACUGCACUGGAAAGUAUCAAACCAGCAAAAAUAUUUGGAAUGUUUCUUACUUCUUUUAUUUUUUUAAAUUUUAUUUUAUUAAUGAUAAAAUAUUGAAUGUCAACAUGCAAUGCUUUGUGCAUUGCAUCAGACAGCUCAAACACUAAUUGUGAUGAAUGGGAGUGGAAGGGCCAAGGUUACAGGCAUUUAAGAAGGCUCUGUGGAUUGCAAAUAUUAGGAUUGAUUAAAGGUCAAAUACUUUAUGGAUUUAUCAGUUUUGUAUACAUUUUCUCAUGACAUAGAAUCACUUACACUACCUACAAAAUGAAAUAGAAAAGAGCUGCAAAUCAGAUAAUUUUUAAGUCUUUAUCCCACAUACAGGCUUAGUCAUUGAGAAUAAUUAAUGGCACAGAAAUGUUUUGAUUAGUCAAGCAAUAAACCAGACAACCCCCCCACAACCCACCCUUCAAUAAUUCUAGCUUUCCCCAGGUCAUAGGUAACAGUCUUUCUCAAUUAAUGUUUAAUAUUUACAAACACACAGUCUGGGAAAAGAUAUAUUCUUAUAGCGCUGCUUAAAAAUCUCUAUUUAUUUAAACCAACCACCCUUGGUCCAGAGAGGGUCUUUAACUAAACAGUUUACCCAUGCCCUGUCUUCCUUGUUUCUUGGGAAAACAGAAUUUGAGAUGGGUAUCUCUAUAUUGUCUUUGAUGCAAAGAAUUUUCUAGGAUCCAGACAAGUAAAUAAAUUACUGUCUCCAUUUGUAUCACACUGGAUUUGAACUGACCUUCCUGAAGUCUGUAUUUCAAUUGCCACAGAGCAGUAGAAGCUGGAUGUGCACAAUUUUUUGGGAAAAAGCCUUGGAUUUGGUGUUUUUGUUAAGAAGCUGUGCGAGGUGUCUCUGCUGGUCUCACCAACAUCAGGACUGAACCUUCAGCUCAAACGCUGAAACAUGCUUAUGUGUAGUACUUAUUUCAGGCAAGUGAAAUCCGUUUGAGACCAGUGGCUUCAUUCUUCUGCCUCAGAGGCUGAUGGAAUUGCUCUGCAGAGCUCUUUUUGCUGCCUUUGGAACUCCACCCCACAUGAGCCGACUUGAGGGCCACAUCCAGGGGCAUCUCUGUGUCCUUCCAGCACAGCUGCUGCCACCUCUAUGGUCAAAUCCUGACCUGGGAUUUGCAAUACGCUCUAUCUUUUGAAUGUUACUGAAAAAAAUAGAAGUAGCAACUUGGUAGGAAUCCCACCAUAGUCUUGCAGCUGCAUUUUAGUAGAGUCUUUGCUCUGUGUAUGUCUUUCACAAUUGACAAACAGCUGGGCAGGCUGAGCAAAGACAGAGGAAGGAGAGGGUUUUCAAAGCCAAAGCUUUUUUGUAGGUUGUUAUUUGCUCCUGUUGUUAAAAGUGCUCAUAAAGAUCAUCUCGUCCCACACUACUGACAAUCAUAUUCAGCAAAGAAACCCUCCAAGGUAUUUGGGUUUCCCAAAGAUGGUAUAAAUUGCAGCCUAAGUUACCACCUAAAGCUCAGAAUGGAGAAACAGUCAUCAGCUUAAUCAAGGGAUUCCAGAAGAAAGGCCUCUGUGGGACAGGUUACUGAUAUCCAGUUGUGCUGUUCAACAACUGAGCAAAUCUUGCUCUCAGUUACCCUGAGGGGUGUGAAAUCCAAGCCCAAAGGCUCUGUCCCCCACACCACUGAAAGGGCUGUUUGAAGAGGCAAGAUCAAUAGCAGUGAGAACAGGCAGAAUGUAUUGGGGGUAUCCACAGACACCUCUGAGGGGGAAGAAAUUUUUGCAUUUGAACAACUCCAGCAUUUCUCCAUCUUUCCUUCUGCAAAGAAGCCUUACUGGUUUCCUGAGAAUAUGGACAUGUAUUUUCCAGUCCAUAGCUUUUGGAUGCUUGCUAUAGAAACAAAGGUUUAGUUAAUCAAAAAAAGGCAACCAAGCCUAAAUUUUGGGCUCCACUAAAUGCCAAUUUGUUGCUAAUUAAGUUCUUUUAAAUUUGAUAGCAUCCUCUAAUGGGUGGGCAUACAAAAACUCAGACGUGUUUCCUCAGCAAGGAAGCUUUAAAGAAUAACACCCAUUUGGCACCGUAACAUUUGAUUAAAGAAGGCUCAGAUAUCCCAGCUGUAAAGGUUAAGCACAGACAUGUGUGUCACACAUGAUGCAGUCAGUAAAUGAUGUAAUGCUGAUAGACCCGUAACAACGAAAAACAUUCCAACACCAGAUUUUGGCAGAAAGUUUGGUACCAUAUAAAAUACAAUUAAAUGGCUAUAACUUCCAUGGCGUGAAAAUCAGUGUCCUGUAAAAAUAACACAAUACUAUCUAGAAACUUUCCAAAAUAUUUAUUUGCAUUUCAAACAACCGUUCUGCUUUUAAAAUUGCAUUUUCUUAAGCAGGUUUGUAGUGUGCAUGUUGGCUUUCAUAGUUUCAUUUUGGCAGGGUAAUGCUAUAAGCUGCAGGCUGUUUCUAAAACAUUUCAUCUUAUCACUGGCAUAAAAAAAACCUGCUUUUGCAGGAAAGGAGGUCUAGCAUGACUUUGUUUUUUUCUCAAAAUGAAAUUUAAUUUAUGUCACAGGAUUUCUGAUCCACUGAGAGUUUUCAGGGGGACUGAGUCAUACAGUAGUCCUAAAACUCACUAGGCAUGGGUGCCAAGUAAGCCACAGAUUUUUAAGGAAAAAAACAAAAUAGACUCUCUGUUACAUAGGAAAUGUGCAAUAUGAUUUUACUGAAGGCAGAUCAUCCAGACAGACCUUGUGACUUCAUUUAGAAAGUAAAUCAGUCUCCCAGGUAAUGAAAAAUCUCACCUGUCUGUGCUUCUGUACACGUUCAAUACCAUGAUGGACACUAAAUUAUUAGAAAUAUUGGGGGAAAACAAACCCCAAACAAACUAAAACCCCACAACAAACACCACAGUGAAAGGGACCAGGCUAACAGUAGUGAGUAGCUGAGAAAUGUUAUCAACUCCAUCAGAGCCCACUCAUGGCUACUCAGGGAAUUGCUUACAGUCAGGGCUGAGCAUGUUUGAUAUUUAUAGCCAUGGCUUCAGCACAAAAACAUGAAACUGUGCUGACAAAAUUUCCCAAUGACCAUGGUACUGGCAUGAAGUGUCAGAAUGACAUGUCAAAAGGCCUUGAUGUCCCCAGGUGUCACCCAAAAGAAAGUAAAUUGUUUUGUAUCAGAUGUAGUAUAAUAUAUUAAAGGAGAAUUAACAACUUCUGAUGUUAGCAGUGCAUUCAGAUGCCAGAAAUUUGUACUCUUUGGUUGUUUCUAUGGACCCAUGUUUCAAACCAGUCACAUAAUGCUAUUGAGCUGUCACUGGGAUGUAACCACUCCAAAAGCUAAAUGGGAUGGACCCAAGGCUCAUGCACAAGGUAUUUUCUACAGUGAAAUGAAAACAUGUGAGCACUUCACAAGCUAUUGCUGUGAUCUGUUAUGUCAAAACAUAUUGAUCUUGUCAACACUGCUUAAAGAGGGCCAAAGGAGCACUGGAGAAAUAGCUGGUGGGCAUGGCCUGGGAGGAAGAGUUUGUGGCAUCCUGUGAAAUCACCUUUCACAAGGUAUCAAUUAAACAACUCAACUUCAAGGAGAGGCAGGGACUUGUCUGAUUGCUCAAUGCAAUGCAGGACAGGGUUGAAAUUCCUUGUACCGAAUUGAGUGACCUGGCCAGAAAGCACAACCUAUCACAACACCAAGACCCUCAGCUGAAAAAUUACAUCUGUCCAAUUCCUUCUCAGCUGAAAAAUUGUUUUUGUUUGUUACCAAACCAAGCUGAUUUAAGACUCAGCUGAAGUAAAAAGCUUUGUAGCAAUUAUCCAUUAUUAAUAUCUUACUAAAUUUCAGUAACCCAAAGAAAAGGUGCAUUUUGGCUAUCAAUGCAUUAGAGAGACACUUUUCAAGUUUUGACCUAGCAACUCAAAAUUCAUUGACACAGCCCCAUAGCAGAUACAUCCCUUGAGAGUGUGAGUUCAUGCCUGGAAAUGACAGUAUUCUUUCUCAUACUCUUUCUCUAAGCAACCAGCAGACCCAAACUCAAUUUUGCUGUGUAUGAAGCCAAGUUUUAAAGUUGCUUUUAAUUUCUUAACAUGCACAGCCUAGUUA